CAUGAUCUGAAAAUCCAGUUUUGUGAUGAUAAUAUUUGUGACAACAUUAUUGGGAGAGAUAAUUUUUCAGCCAAAAGAUGCUUAAUGUUAUGGUUGAUGUUGACAAGGCUGAGCAUUGUCUCAGUUGCAUACUUCUACUACAGUCAUUUUGAUAUCAAUUCAAUCCACACUCCACAGUUGUCUGCCUGAGAUUAUUUUUAAGGUAUAGAUGCUGCCACACUUCAAUAAGCAGUUCAGAAGCAUAUUGAGUGGGAUAAUUCGUCAAUAUCUUUAGCUUUCUGACAACAGUUUGUGGAUCAAGAAUUUUCAACCAAGGUUCUUUGCAAGAUGAUUACGGACCAUCUGUGGUAUAACUAAUCUGCCAUUUUGAAGUAAAGAAGUAUGAGGGACUGAAUUUCAAGUUUUGUGGUGGCGGAGCCAGAAAAAUUGAAAAGCUAAUGUCAAAAAUUAGCCAACCAUAGAGGAAGCUAGUGCCACAAUUAGCAGUAAUGGAGGAAGCAAACCAUUUACAGUUACUGAAGAUCAAAAAAAACUUUUGAUUUUGAAAAUCAGCCACUGCCAAGGCACUUGCUGGUUCCAACGUGGCUACGCCAUUAUUCUAGAUUCCAAUUCUCAUAAAUUUCUAAAGUAAGGGUGAAUACUGAAAUCAGGCAUUUUAUUUUUGGCCCUUUGUAUUGUAUGCUGACCAUCAUAUAUUCAUAUGCUAAAAUGUUAAGAUAAU
Molecule: long non-coding RNA, 721 nt
Organism: Gastrolobium bilobum
Lineage: Eukaryota; Viridiplantae; Streptophyta; Magnoliopsida; Fabales; Fabaceae
Exons: 3
Source: RefSeq, a predicted model, not a curated record